Molecule: transfer RNA, 75 nt
Filed under: Limosilactobacillus reuteri
Lineage: Bacteria; Bacillati; Bacillota; Bacilli; Lactobacillales; Lactobacillaceae
Description: Lactobacillus reuteri tRNA-Lys
Rfam family: tRNA
About the family: Transfer RNA (tRNA) molecules are approximately 80 nucleotides in length. Their secondary structure includes four short double-helical elements and three loops (D, anti-codon, and T loops).
Source: RNAcentral
GGGCAGUUAGCUCAGCUGGCAGAGCAACGGACUCUUAAUCCGUGGGUCCAGGGUUCGAUCCCUGACUGCCCAUCA